Molecule: transfer RNA, 83 nt
Organism: Hanseniaspora osmophila
Lineage: Eukaryota; Fungi; Ascomycota; Saccharomycetes; Saccharomycodales; Saccharomycodaceae
Rfam family: tRNA
About the family: Transfer RNA (tRNA) molecules are approximately 80 nucleotides in length. Their secondary structure includes four short double-helical elements and three loops (D, anti-codon, and T loops). Further hydrogen bonds mediate the characteristic L-shaped molecular structure. tRNAs have two regions of fundamental functional importance: the anti-codon, which is responsible for specific mRNA codon recognition, and the 3' end, to which the tRNAs corresponding amino acid is attached (by aminoacyl-tRNA synthetases). tRNAs cope with the degeneracy of the genetic code in two manners: having more than one tRNA (with a specific anti-codon) for a particular amino acid; and 'wobble' base-pairing, i.e. permitting non-standard base-pairing at the 3rd anti-codon position.
Source: Rfam
GGAGGGUUGGCCGAGUGGUCUAAGGCGGCAGACUUAAGAUCUGUUGGACAGCGUCCGCGCGGGUUCGAACCCCGCAUCCUUCA